GGCAGAGGUGCCGAGCGUUAGGCGGAAUCACUGGGCGUAAAGCGCGGGCAGGCGGCUCGAAACGUCUGAUGUGAAAUCUCCUCGCUCAACGGGGAGAGGCCAUUGGAAACGGUCGGGCUGGAGGGCAGUAGAGGCAGGCGGAAUUCCGGGUGGAGUGGUGAAAUGCGUAGAGAUCCGGAGGAACACCAGAGGCGAAGGCGGCCUGCUGGGCUGCACCUGACGCUGAACCGCGAAAGCCAGGGGAGCGAACGGG
Molecule: ribosomal RNA, 253 nt
Filed under: uncultured bacterium
Lineage: Bacteria
Description: partial 16S ribosomal RNA
Rfam family: Bacterial small subunit ribosomal RNA
Source: RNAcentral